RNA transcript from Solenopsis invicta (red fire ant), 2618 nucleotides. It is a transcript of the gene named glucose dehydrogenase [FAD, quinone], with no coding region annotated. The record is from RefSeq and is a predicted model, not a curated record. The transcript has 5 exons. Lineage: Eukaryota; Metazoa; Arthropoda; Insecta; Hymenoptera; Formicidae.
AAUUCGGAUAUUUGAAUAAACGUAAAUUUCGAAUAAGAUUAAUCAAUAGUACGACCAAAGCGAAAGAUGAGCGUCGCGACGGUAGUAAGCACUGCAAUAAAAGCAGCCACUGUCCUUCUUGGCGGCGGUAUCGGUAAAAUAACUAUAAUCCCAGUGUUGAUCGUCGCGCUCGCGUAUUUCAAUUACGAUCUCAUGGACCCGGAAAAUCAUCCACGCGUGACGAAACAAUUAAAGAAAGAUUAUGACUUUGUUAUUGUCGGCGGUGGUUCAGCUGGCAGCGUGCUAGCCAACAGAUUAACGGAAAAUCCUGAAUGGAGCGUGCUUCUACUAGAGGCCGGAGGGCACGAAACCGAGAUAACUGAUGUCCCAAUACUCUCAUUAUUUUUGCAUAAGAGUAAGCUGGACUAUAAGUAUCGCACGCAGCCGCAGGAUACGGCUUGCCAGGCGAUGGUCGAUCGUCGAUGUUGCUGGACUAGAGGCAAGGUUCUCGGAGGCUCUAGCGUUUUAAACACAAUGCUUUAUAUUCGCGGAAAUCGACGAUUUUGACCAAUGGAAGAGUUUUGGUAAUCCUGGCUGGGGAUAUGAAGAUGUAUUGCCGUAUUUUAAAAAGUCUCAAGACCAAAGAAAUCCAUAUUUGGCACGUAAUAUAAGAUAUCACGGUACAGGUGGAUACUUGACCGUACAAGAUAGUCCAUAUAUCACUCCGUUGGGCGUAGCCUUUUUACAAGCUGGAGAAGAAAUGGGAUACGAUAUUUGUGAUGUCAACGGCCAGCAGCAAACUGGUUUCGCCUUCUUACAGUUCACAAUGAGACGGGGCUCUAGAUGCAGCACCGCCAAGGCAUUUGUACGACCCAUUCAACUUAGAAAAAAUUUUCAUCUCUCUUUGUGGAGCCAUGUAACUCGAGUGCUGAUAGAUCCGGAGAGUAGAAGAGCGUAUGGAGUAGAAUUUAUUAGAGAUGGUCGUAAGGAGGUGGUGCUUGCCAGAAAAGAAGUAAUUCUCUCAGCCGGUGCCAUUAAUAGCCCACAAUUAUUAAUGCUUUCCGGAAUAGGGCCGCGUAUACACUUAGAGCAAUUAGGAAUUCCCGUGAUUGAAGAUUUACCCGGUGUUGGGCAGAAUCUGCAAGAUCAUAUAGCUGUUGGUGGAAUUAUUUUCCCAAUCGAUUACAAAGUCAGCAUGUUGUGGAAUCGAAUGGUGAAUAUUAAUUCGGUUUUAAGAUAUGCUAUCACCGAGGAUGGCCCGUUAACGUCCAGCAUUAGCCUUGAGGCGGUUGGCUUUAUCUCCACCAAGUAUGCCAAUCAGAGUGACGAUUGGCCUGACAUCGAAUUUAUGCUGACAUCAUCAAGUGUUAAUUCAGAUGAUGGAAACUUUAUAAAAAACGCUCAUGGUUUAACCGAUGAAUUUUAUAAUUACAUGUUUAGUGAAAUAAGAAAUCAAGACGUUUUUGGAGUAUUUCCAAUGAUACUCAGGCCCAAGUCACGCGGUUACAUAAGACUAAAAUCCAAGAAUCCUUUAGAUUAUCCAUUGCUCUAUCAUAACUAUCUAACUCAUCCAGACGAUGUCGCAGUACUUCGUGAGGGUCAUCCUCUUAAGGCGGCUGUUGCCUUUGGCGAGACUAGUAGUAUGAGAAGAUUUGGUUCAAGAUUUUAUGACAAACCGUUACCCAAUUGUAAGCAUAUUCGUCUCUAUACGGACGAAUACUGGAAUUGUGCAAUAAGGCAAUACACCAUAACGAUUUAUCAUAUGAGCUGCACCGCCAAGAUGGGUCCGCCCGAUGAUCCAAUGGCGGUUGUAAAUCCAGAGUUGAAAGUUUACGGAGUCGACGGCUUACGGGUGAUUGACGCAUCUAUCAUGCCGACCAUCACGAGUGGUAAUAUAAACGCGCCUGUCAUUAUGAUCGGUGAGAAGGGCGCUGAUAUGAUAAAGGCAAGAUGGAUUAAACGACGCGGACGUCGCGUUGUUCUUGGAAUUAAAAUAUUUUCAUCUUCCAAAAAUCGUUUAUAUGGUCCUCUUUUCAUAUUUUUAACGUACGCAAAAUUAACUUUGAAACAACAAUUACACACGGACGACGAGACAUAAGGCCUGUUCUUUUUAGCUGAACUGGCUGCACUAAUUCAGUUUAUCUUUCUUCUUUUAACGUGGAGGGAAGAAGAUAAACUGUGAACUAGUGCAGUCAGUUCAGCUAAAAAGAACAGGCUUACAAUUACAAUUUUACAAAUGUGAGCGGGAGACAAAGCAAUGCAGCUGAGAAAGAAAAAUCAAAAUAUCGCUCGUACACCAGCAAAUACAGAUGCAAGGAUAUAAUUCGGACCAAUGAGCGUUUAGCAUUGGACCGCCAAUUUGAAAAUCGGACCAAUCCCAACUAGUGAUAGAAUUUCGCGCCCGAAAACAUAUGCAGCACGCAUGUAGCACCGGCCACGCCGCACACAACACGCUCGCAUGGCGCGCACUGAACCUAACCAAGCGUGUGUCAUAUAUAGAUAGAGCAUUUCAACGUGCGUACGUGCAUGUGUGUGUAGCGUGCUACGUGAUUUCGGACUUGUAUUCACAUCUCGAUCCGCGCCUUGCAAGAGAUUUCGUGUUAGUUUUACGUUUCUUCGUUCUAGUGAACGACAAACAA